Molecule: ribosomal RNA, 207 nt
Filed under: uncultured bacterium
Lineage: Bacteria
Description: partial 16S ribosomal RNA
Rfam family: Bacterial small subunit ribosomal RNA
Source: RNAcentral
CGUGCAGGCGGGUUGGUAAGUCAGAUGUGAAAGCCCUGGGCUCAACCCAGGAAGUGCAUUUGAAACUGCCAUCCUUGAGUAUGGGAGAGGAGAGUGGAAUUCCCAAUGUAGAGGUGAAAUUCGUAGAUAUUGGGAGGAACACCCGUGGCGAAGGCGACUCUCUGGACCAAUACUGACGCUGAGACGCGAGAGCGUGGGGAGCAAACA